RNAcentral lists this long non-coding RNA (434 nucleotides) under Phascolarctos cinereus (koala). Its description in RNAcentral is "lncRNA (ENSPCIG00000011479.2)". The record is from RNAcentral. Lineage: Eukaryota; Metazoa; Chordata; Mammalia; Diprotodontia; Phascolarctidae.
GAGCCUGCUGGAUCCCUAGUCCCCAGGUUCUAGGACUUUGAGCUUUAACUUGGCAAUUAAUGCCAGGGUCUACAGCCAGCUCCUCUCCUCCCAUGCCAAGGUCAGAUGGCUGAUCGGAAUGUCCUUUGUUUACCAUCCUGAAUGCUCUCCCUUCUACUUUCAGCCUCGGAAGAGUUUUGUCCAUCAAGGUUAUAGAUCAACCGGGAGGAAAGCAUUCUUCGAAAACCCCAGAUGAAGGAGGACCACAGAGGCAAGUGGAGACUGGUGCGCCAGAAGUCAGUUUCAGAAGCAAAGAGUGAAGAAAUAUAUGAAGACCUGUACAGUGGAGACAGCAGCCAACCCCCAAUGGAGUGAGUGAGUCUCUUGUCCUCCUUGCCUGGGCCUGGCCUUUGUAGACAAGCUGGGAAAGAGCAGACUACAGGGGCAGGGAUGAG